This is a small nucleolar RNA of Ornithorhynchus anatinus (platypus), 138 nucleotides long. The record is from RefSeq and is a predicted model, not a curated record. NCBI's taxonomy places the organism in Eukaryota, Metazoa, Chordata, Mammalia, Monotremata, Ornithorhynchidae.
AUCCUCUCAGGAUCGCACCUGGAGAUAUUCCAGUACUCUACUAGUCUCGGCUAUGGGAGGGAGAGUCAAGCAGAGGCAUACCCAUUCCAUUCCUAUCUUGGGCAGUGGUUAGUGAAUGGAAGGCAAUCUGCUACAAGU